GACGAACGCUGGCGGCGUGCUUAACACAUGCAAGUCGAACGGAAAGGCCCUGCUUUUGUGGGGUGCUCGAGUGGCGAACGGGUGAGUAACACGUGAGUAACCUGCCCUUGACUUUGGGAUAACUUCAGGAAACUGGGGCUAAUACCGGAUAGGAGCUCCUGCUGCAUGGUGGGGGUUGGAAAGUUUCGGCGGUUGGGGAUGGACUCGCGGCUUAUCAGCUUGUUGGUGGGGUAGUGGCUUACCAAGGCUUUGACGGGUAGCCGGCCUGAGAGGGUGACCGGCCACAUUGGGACUGAGAUACGGCCCAGACUCCUACGGUAGGCAGAAGUGGGGAAUAUUGCACAAUGGGCGGAAGCCUGAUGCAGCAACGCCGCGUGCGGGAUGACGGCCUUCGGGUUGUAAACCGCUUUCGCCUGUGACGAAGCGUGAGUGACGGUAAUGGGUAAAGAAGCACCGGCUAACUACGUG
RNAcentral lists this ribosomal RNA (468 nucleotides) under uncultured bacterium. RNAcentral describes it as "partial 16S ribosomal RNA". It matches the Rfam family "Bacterial small subunit ribosomal RNA", at positions 28 to 507 of the family's 1533-position model. The record is from RNAcentral.